GACGAACGCUGGCGGCGUGCUUAACACAUGCAAGUCGAACGGAAAGGCCCCUUUGGGGGUACUCGAGUGGCGAACGGGUGAGUAACACGUGAGUAACCUGCCCUUGACUUCGGGAUAACUUCAGGAAACUGGGGCUAAUACCGGCUAGGAAUCCUUGCUGCAUGGUGGGGGUUGGAAAGCUUCGGCGGUUUUGGAUGGACUCGCGGCGUAUCAGCUUGUUGGUGGGGUAGUGGCUUACCAAGGCUUUGACGGGUAGCCGGCCUGAGAGGGCGACCGGCCACAUUGGGACUGAGAUACGGCCCAGACUCCUACGGGAGGCAGCAGUGGGGAAUAUUGCACAAGGGGCGGAAGCCUGAUGCAGCAACGCCGCGGGCGGGAUGACGGCCUUCGGGUUGUAAACCGCUUUCAGCAGGGGCGAAGCUUGUGGUGACGGUACCUGCAGAAGAAGCACCGGCUAACUACGUG
RNAcentral lists this ribosomal RNA (465 nucleotides) under uncultured bacterium. Its description in RNAcentral is "partial 16S ribosomal RNA". It matches the Rfam family "Bacterial small subunit ribosomal RNA", at positions 28 to 507 of the family's 1533-position model. The record is from RNAcentral.